CGCAAGCCUGACGGAGCAAGACCGCGAGCGGGAUGACGGCCUAAUGGUUGCAAACCGCUUUUCUCUGGGAAGAUGAUGACGGUACCAGAGGAAUCAGCCUCGGCUAACUCCGUGCCAGCAGCCGCGGUAAUACGGAGGAGGCAAGCGUUAUCCGGAAUUAUUGGGCGUAAAGCGUCCGUAGGUGGUUAUUCAAGUCUGCUGUCAAAGCGUGGGGCUUAACUCCAUAGAGGCAGUGGAAACUGGAUGACUUGAGUGCGGUAGGGGUCGAGGGAAUUCCCAGUGUAGCGGUGAAAUGCGUAGAUAUUGGGAAGAACACCAGUGGCGAAAGCGCUCGACUGGGCCUGCACUGACACUGAGGGACGAAAGCUAGGGGAGCG
Molecule: ribosomal RNA, 377 nt
Filed under: uncultured cyanobacterium
Lineage: Bacteria; Bacillati; Cyanobacteriota
Description: bacterial SSU rRNA
Rfam family: Bacterial small subunit ribosomal RNA
Source: RNAcentral